AUGCACGCUGGCGGCGUGCCUCAUACAUGCCAGUCGCGCGAACAGACGAGGAGCUUGCUCCUCUGACGUUAGCGGCGGACGGGUGAGUAACACGUGGAUAACCUACCUAUAAGACUGGGAUAACUUCGGGAAACCGGAGCUAAUACCGGAUAAUAUAUUGAACCGCAUGGUUCAAUAGUGAAAGACGGUUUUGCUGUCACUUAUAGAUGGAUCCGCGCCGCAUUAGCUAGUUGGUAAGGUAACGGCUUACCAAGGCAACGAUGCGUAGCCGACCUGAGAGGGUGAUCGGCCACACUGGAACUGAGACACGGUCCAGACUCCUACGGGAGGCAGCAGUAGGGAAUCUUCCGCAAUGGGCGAAAGCCUGACGGAGCAACGCCGCGUGAGUGGUGAAGGUCUUCGGAUCGUAAAACUCUGUUAUUAGGGAAGAACAAAUGUGUAAGUAACUAUGCACGUCUUGACGGUACCUAAUCAGAAAGCCACGGCUAACUACGUG
This 496-nucleotide ribosomal RNA is filed under the name uncultured bacterium. Its description in RNAcentral is "partial 16S ribosomal RNA". It matches the Rfam family "Bacterial small subunit ribosomal RNA", at positions 29 to 507 of the family's 1533-position model. The record is from RNAcentral.